Molecule: ribosomal RNA, 498 nt
Filed under: Vibrio sp. AmSamW72
Lineage: Bacteria; Pseudomonadati; Pseudomonadota; Gammaproteobacteria; Vibrionales; Vibrionaceae
Description: bacterial SSU rRNA
Rfam family: Bacterial small subunit ribosomal RNA
Source: RNAcentral
UGACUUCGGGGGACGAUAACGGCGUCGAGCGGCGGACGGGUGAGUAAUGCCUAGGAAAUUGCCCUGAUGUGGGGGAUAACCAUUGGAAACGAUGGCUAAUACCGCAUGAUGCCUACGGGCCAAAGAGGGGGACCUUCGGGCCUCUCGCGUCAGGAUAUGCCUAGGUGGGAUUAGCUAGUUGGUGAGGUAAGGGCUCACCAAGGCGACGAUCCCUAGCUGGUCUGAGAGGAUGAUCAGCCACACUGGAACUGAGACACGGUCCAGACUCCUACGGGAGGCAGCAGUGGGGAAUAUUGCACAAUGGGCGCAAGCCUGAUGCAGCCAUGCCGCGUGUGUGAAGAAGGCCUUCGGGUUGUAAAGCACUUUCAGUCGUGAGGAAGGUGGUGUAGUUAAUAGCUGCAUUAUUUGACGUUAGCGACAGAAGAAGCACCGGCUAACUCCGUGCCAGCAGCCGCGGUAAUACGGAGGGUGCGAGCGUUAAUCGGAAUUACUGGGCGU